UCUCUUAAUUGGUGACUUGUAUGAAAGAUUGGAUGAGAUAUAAACUGUCUCUAAUUGAUUUAUAAAAAUUAAUUUUUUAGUAAAAAAGCUAAAAUAAUUUUAAAAGACGAGAAGACCCUAUAGAGUUUAAUAUUUUAUUUAAUAGUUAUUAAUAUAUAUAUAAUUUUAAAAUUAAAAUUAAAUAAAUUAUUUUGUUGGGGUGAUAAAAAAAUUAAAUUAACUUUUUUUGAUUAUAAACAUUAAUUUAUGAUUAAAUGAUCCAUUUAUAGUGAUUAAAAGAAAAAAUUACCUUAGGGAUAACAGCGUAAUUUUUUUUUUUAGUCCAAA
Molecule: ribosomal RNA, 327 nt
Filed under: Papilio godeffroyi
Lineage: Eukaryota; Metazoa; Arthropoda; Insecta; Lepidoptera; Papilionidae
Description: partial 16S ribosomal RNA
Source: RNAcentral